ACUGUUAUUGUACACACACACACACACACACACACACACAGAGUCAGUCACAGUAUUGUACCAUUGAUAGGAGAAUAUUACUACGUGACUUGCAAGGCAUUUGAGUUUGUUUCCUUCAGUCGUAUUUUAGACGGUGUACGAAGUUGACAUGUUUGACAAAGUAAUGAAAAUAUUAUCAUAUUGGUAUCUCCAAUAUGAACUAAUAACCUGCUUAUAUAUAUUUGAACCUUGGGAGAAAAAAUUACUUAAUAGUAUCAUUGUGUUGAUUGUUGGUCUUGUUGCAUACUCAUCAUAUGUUUACCUGCCUCACUACACUAUGUCUCUGUUGACUUAUAUGAACGUCUUGGAUACAGACAGUGUGGUUGUUGAUUGUCAUUAUGCGGACAGUAGAAUUUGAACACAUUGUGAAACUCCAAUUUUUGUUUGUUUGUUUUCUGUUGCACCUUCUACCUUUAUUUUUUGUGUCUUGUUGCCUCUUGUAAUAUUUUAUCUGUAUCAUGAGGUAAUAGAGAAAGUGAUGUAUAUAUUUAUAAUCUGUUUGACUAAGUUUAACAUAAUAUGUAUUUUGAUACUUCUAUAGGCAUGAUAAAAGUCAUUAUACUUCUGUAUGUUGUAGCUUGAUAAAAGAAGCAUUGUAUUCAAUAAAACCCUUGGGAUGUAAUGUUAAUUACUUCUGAAACAUUAUUUCCUUUGACAUUAGCAUCCCUUUGUUAUAAAAUACAUCACUGUGUAGUACAUAUUUAUGUUAAUUCAGAUUUCAUAGGAAAUUUUUCAGUGAAUGAAAUUUUAUUCCAAUAUGAUCUGUGUUGUACUUCUACAAUGUUAAGUCUCUGAAUUACUGUGGUGACUGAAUAUGUGUGUAAAAGUAGAAUAUUUGUGUGUACAUAUUAAAAUGUUACAAAAAAUAUAUAUAAAUAUAAAUAUAUAUAUAUAUAUAUAUAUUAUAGGUCUUUAAAAUAAAUCAGGAUGUGGAUGCUCUCAUACUGUAUCAGGAGUACUCUGCGUGGUUGUAGUUUACGUCAGUGACACAUUGCAUUUAUAAGUCUCUGUAACAGCCCUCCCAGCCUGUCAUGUGACAAAAUAUUCUACUUCCUGUGUUUCUUAGUGUCCUCAUUCAGACCUUUUUGUUCUGUUGGAGUCUUAUCUGCUAUUCUAGUUUGAAUCAAGAAUAAAUACUUUAGACAGUAUCCCUUUCCACUUCAGAAUUUGUUGAAACUGGCUACUCCGGAUUUCAACAAUGACUACUAAAGAAUCUAGAGGAUGGAGUUCAAACCUGCAUUGACUGAUGACACCAAAAUACAGAAGGCUUUUAUGGUGACAGGUGAACUUGUACUGUGCAUUUAAAAUGCCAAUGUGGAGGUAUUCAGAGACACAAAGUAAAAUAAAGAUACAUUUUUUUUUCCUUUAAAUGAUUCUGUUGCUAUGAAUGUAGGUACUUUCAUCUCAUAGAUUGUUUCAGUGGUGUCAUAAAAGACACGUUUCGUGUAAUAACUUAUCGUUUCAGGAGAAUCUUGGAACUUUACUCUCCUCACCUCACCUCCACCCAGAAUUGUGUUGAUGACUGUAAGUGCAUUGCUUCUGGUGUUGAAUAAUAUUUAUCCAACUUUAAUUUCAUUAUGCAGUUGUCUGAACUGCAAUUUUUUUAGAAAGUCUUACAAGUUAUUUAUUAAUGAAAUAUUUUAAAAUUUCUUGCUGUAGUUGACAUUGUUUGAAUGUAGUGCAUAUAAUUGUGAUUCAUUUAAUUUCAGAUUUAAUUACAUAUAUGGUAUGGAUGUUAAUCUGCUUUAUCCCCAUUGCUAAUCAUUAUGUUAAUUUGGUAUUUACCUGAGUUGUGAGGGGUUUGCUAUGUAUUUACUUUCCUUGCCAGUAAAGAUAUCCAUCUGAAGAAAUCUAGAAAAUGCUUUAUAGGAUUGUGAGCCACGUUAGAGGGGGAGAAACUGAGAAAGAUAUGUAUUUGUAAGUACACUGCAUUUAUCAUCAUUUAUGUUAAUUGAUAGAAGGUAUUAGAUAUAAUAAAAAAGUGGACAGAAACAUUAACAAAAUAAGUAAAUGGAACACAGUCAUUAUUGAGAAGCAAAGUCAUUCAGCUACAUACAGAAAAAUUUAAUAAUGCAAAUGCAGGGAGUAUUUAUAUGAUAAAUAAUUCUCACAUACUCCCUAACAAGACAAUAACAUUAAUUUUUAUGACAUUGGCUAUAUGGAAAACAUAUCCCACCUUAAGUUUUGGAGUUGUUGACAAACUUUGGUAAUAAUAAGGUUGAUCCAUUCAAACUUGGAAGAUACCUCUGGACUGAAGUGUAUUCAUAUGUUUUUUAUAUAUAUCAAAUAGCAUAUUUGGCAGUGUGCUGCCAAAAAUACACUAGUGUGACUAUCAAAGAUUAGGGCUCGAAGUGUCAAAUUGUAAAGUCUGUUUGUGUAACGUAUGGGCACAAAAGUAUAAGUAUGACCUUAAAGCAUAAACCUAUAUGUUGUGUGUGUUUUCUUUAAAUGGCCAAUAGCAUAUUAUGUUUUUAUCUUUCAAGUAAUGUACUUAUCUGUUUGAGAAGAAUUUUAAUCAGAGCCCAGCACCCUUAAAACAAGUAUACAGAUUUCUAUGUGAAUUUUUUUGGUCUGUUUGUACUAAACAUAUUCAAGACUGGUUUGCAAAUUUGUAUUAGUGAAUUGUCUACAGAUCAUACCCAUGAAGUUUAAAGAAAUUGGUGUAAUGUUGCUGUGGAAAGCAUGUAGAUGUAUGUCAUUGUUGGUCUUAGGUUGUUAUGCUGUGUUUACUUCUAGGCAGACACCAGUGUUUUGGAGAAACAUCUUGUCUCUGAAUCUAUGAAAUGUUUGUAUGUACCUACAAGUCUACAUGGCAUUACAGCCCAGAAGACCAGUGUUAACAUUGUCACUGUGGGAAUUUCAAAUCUCACACAUAGAAUAAUGUCUGCAAAUACUGUAUCAUUAUCGGUAAAUAUUUCCUGUCACUAUAGAUGUUGGCAUGAUAUAGUUUCCACAUCAAGUUUUAGAUGUCUUCUUUAUCGAACAUAGUUGGGUAUUUAGAAAUAGAGGUGUACAAUUCUGGUGAGCUAAUGUUGUAGUACUUAUGUUUUGGAAAUUAAUUUUUUGUAUCCAUUUUGUAACAUUGUUUAAAAAUAAAAGUUGUGACAAAAUGUUUAUUUAAAGUA
Molecule: long non-coding RNA, 3164 nt
Organism: Zootermopsis nevadensis
Lineage: Eukaryota; Metazoa; Arthropoda; Insecta; Blattodea; Termopsidae
Source: RefSeq, a predicted model, not a curated record